UCUCCUCCUUUUCUUAUCCUCUCUCUUACUUUUUUUUUUCUCUUAUUUCAUUAUUAAAAGGGUGAGAAUCUCUUCCUCAUACCUCCACUGUGCCUGUUCUUAUGGUUUUAGUUUAGUAACUACUAAAGUAGAUUUCAUUCAAGCCCAUAAAAGGUCAACUUACAUGAGAAGCAAGCUAAAUACAAAAGACAUCGGAUGAAAUUCAAGCCCAUGCCCACAUAGUUUACAAUAAACCUAACUAAAAUACGUUUGCUUGGUCGAGAGGAAGUGACACGCGUAGGUUUGAGAUGAAUACACAACACGGGUAUCUCUACAUGCGUCCUUCAUGCAUUGAUCUGCGCCACCACCGUCUGAACUUCAGCUCCGACCUCCGAAGAUUUGCUCCGCCGUGUGCAUCAUCCAAUCAACUUUCCAAUUUGCAGGCUUCGUGAGCAUCAAAGAUUAUCGACGAACUUUGCAGCUUCUUCUCUGGACCUUUUGCUCAAACCGCGACCAAUCAAUCGGAGGGACACUUACUUUACUGCAAAUAAAACCAGAGGAAGCUUAUAACCCGUUGAAGAAGAUUCUUUGUUGGACCGUAAUGAAACACCAACUCUCCUGAGUCUGCUUCAGAGAGGCCAAAGAAACCCAUCAAACUCAACCAUCCUUGUCGGAGAAGCUUUACAACGCCACAUCAAUGGCUAGCUAUAAGAGUAAAGACUGAUUCUCCUAAAAGGAGGUUCGGUUGAAGCUAGAGCCGUAAAAUGGGUGGGCUGUCCAAUGGGUGUUUAUGUCUAAAUAUAUUUGGGCUUCCAUUAGUUAUACCCAUAUUUCUAGAUUGGAUUUAAAUGGUCAAAAUUGGGAAACUAAUUAAUCUAUGGUUAUUUGUGGAUUUGGUUAAAAUAGACAUGGGCGGCCCAAUUUAAAAAAAUUUC
Molecule: long non-coding RNA, 914 nt
Filed under: Brassica napus (rape)
Lineage: Eukaryota; Viridiplantae; Streptophyta; Magnoliopsida; Brassicales; Brassicaceae
Description: long non-coding RNA (BNAP_LNC003389)
Source: RNAcentral